Molecule: long non-coding RNA, 2795 nt
Organism: Myotis lucifugus (little brown bat)
Lineage: Eukaryota; Metazoa; Chordata; Mammalia; Chiroptera; Vespertilionidae
Exons: 2
Source: RefSeq, a predicted model, not a curated record
UGUGUGUGUGUAGAGAAGCAGGGAAGGAACCUCCCUACCUGAUACUGUCACUCCAAUUAAUCCAGGUCACAGUUCCCAGGCACUAUUCCAAUUUAGUGGGAGAAACCACAAUUAGGAUUUCAGAACAGAGAUUUUAAUCAGACAUCAAAUUGGAUUGAAUAGACUCAUCUACUCAUUUGCCAUGUAACCUUGGCAGGUGACAGCCUCUCUGCCUCAGUUUCCUCUGCUGUAAAAUAGGGGCAAGAUUAGUAAUAUACACCCCGCAGGGCUGUUGGGAAAAUUAAGAGACUGGCAUGUAAAACACUUAGCAGUGCCUGGCACAUGGUAAAUCGGUCAAUAAAUGUUCACUGAUGUUAUUACUGUUAUUCAAAUGACAAUGUUUUUCAAAUGACAAUGACCCUUUAGGCAGACCCCUCCCUGACUGAGUAAAGAGCAGGCCUCUCGUAGCAGAUCCAGACAGGCAGACAGAAAGAGGGCUCACCCGGACUCUGGGGAGAAGCCUCGGAAAUAAACGAGGCGAGAAGGCAGAGCCAUCGGCUGUUCUGGGAGCAAAGGCCUGCGAGACCAGCGGGGCCUUCACUGUCGGGAGAGAGAACAGGGCCAGGCACCUCCGGGAGACCCAUGCUGGCGGGGAACUGCCAGGAACGCAAGGUCCUGCCCUCGCCCCAGCUCGUGCAUGCACACAGACAGUCCCUUCACCUUGCCUUUGGCCUCAACCAACCACAUGGCAUCAGAACCCAGGUUCAGGUUGGGGAAACAUGGUCACAUCUUUGAGAAGUAUGACUCUGGGAAUUCAGACAGGGCUCAGGACAGAGCAGCACCCAGGGCAGGAGGCAGGGAGCCGAUACACGGAGCCUGGGACAGAAGAGGGACCUAGCUAGCAUGGGAACAAACAGGACAGCAACACAGGGGCUGUGACCAAGCGCCACAGACAGACCAGGCCCAUGCUAGCGAUAACCUGCCCCAUCACUGAAGGCCCAGGUACUCCAGGCUCAGUGGCCACUCACCCCAGCAGGAAACCACACAGUGGGCCUCACAGGCACCUGCCUAAACCAUCUGCGAUUUCUUAGCUUCUCUGCACAGACACUGACACCCAUGAGCAGAGACACCAGCCUGCCUCCAGGAUCUGGCUGUGCACCCCUUGAUCGACCUCUUCCUUCUCGCCCAGCCAGAGGAAUGGCUCCUGCCCCAGGGCAGGACAGUGCCCCCUCUCCCUGUCGGGUCCAGGAACAGCUGCCGGAUUCAUUCGUGGGACCCUCCCACGGUCCAGGCCAGAAACCUCGCUGAGGUUGGGUUACUGUGUGAAAGGCUUUUCUCCACCUGACACAGACUUUUCUGCUCCUCUGAGAAGCAUCUGCUCUGCUGUCUGGCAAACUCCUCCCUUCAUCCUCCAGCAUCUACAACAAACCCUCAAAAGGCAACCACCCGGGGACUAAAACUGCGGCCACAGCUAAGCGUGUACUCGUGCCUUCUCCACUCAUCCCAGCGCAGACUCAUCAGCACCCCUUCCUUCCUGCUGGGUUCAGGCUCCAUCCAGUUUAGCUUGGCCCCAACUCGGGCCUCCCUUCACCUCGGAGCUUCAGUGUCAUGACCUGUGAAAAGCAGGGUUGACUGUGGUGUCUGCAGUGAAGCUCCAAAGCAAUUAAAAUGGGUUGGCAACAAGAUAUCACUUGACUCCUAUCCUCUCCCCUCCGGGCCCCUGCAGCCCUGUGCCCCAGCAGUAGGAGAAGGCAACAGUCAGCCUGAGAAGAGAGAAGAGGCUCCCAGCAUCUCCUCGGGGCCUUCCGGACGGAGGCCAGCCCAUCAAGACCUUUCUGACUCUGAGCUGCUGCUACCGCACUAUCAUUACGAUCAUUUGAAACAGCCUCAGGAACAGCAAGCAGUCCUUAAGAGGAAGGCGGCACCGAGACAGGGGGCCAGGGGAAGUCUUCAGAUGAAAGGGCAGGCUACCGAACAGGACACAUUGCGGAGUGCCAGGUCAGCGCUGGGGGUACCUCAACACCCUGAGGAGGAAAGACACCAGAGCCGAGCCUCAAAGCAGGCAAAACUAUGCCAGUGGCUUGGGGACGUUCUGUUCCGAAGCAGUUCAGAUCUCUUCCGUUUGGAGCCUGAAUCAACCCUGCAGUCCCCUGGGGCCAGCCUGGACUCCAGCCAGGUCCAGGCACAUCCUCGUCAUCCAAAAGUCCACUCUGCCUGCCUGUGUGCCCACCCGCCUCCCGCCGCAGACUCUUGCAGACGGCUCCUGCUCCAUCUCACAAGCCGGAUGUGCUGAAGGAGAAACAAGCUGCUGUUGCUGACACUAAGCUCAGUCUCUCUCCCUGCUCACAUGAUCACUUCUCAUUUUCCUAACACAGCCAACCCUGCAGGGGAUUCCCGGAAUAAAAGGCAUCUUUCCCAACUCAGGCAGCUCACAGACCAUUUAGAAAAAGAGCCAGAGACCUAUUGAGGAAGCUCACAUUGGGUGGGACCAAUGAUAAACACAACUGGAUUAAAAAUCAGGGCAGAUCCUUACAGAGAGCUAAGAAGAGUGUCAAUUUUGUUACUGCUCUGUCCUCCUUUCUCUUCCCUUAUGCUAAUAUAAGUAAAUUUAAAGAAACGAUGGCUAGUGAGUGGCUCACCCAGAAAUGGAACAGCCCCGGCUUCUCACUGAUAGAGUCAUCAUGGCCUGGCUCCCCUUGCCCCAAGGAGGGGCGGUGGAGACGGUAAUUACUGCACGAGCUGUUAUUUCAUAUCCUGCUGAGCAGCAGGAAAGAUGCUUGGAAUCACAGAAACAGUAAUGAGAGAAAAGGCAAGAG